Molecule: RNA transcript, 1582 nt
Organism: Vigna radiata var. radiata (mung bean)
Lineage: Eukaryota; Viridiplantae; Streptophyta; Magnoliopsida; Fabales; Fabaceae
Gene name: serine/arginine-rich-splicing factor SR34
Exons: 16
Source: RefSeq, a predicted model, not a curated record
AAGACACAACUUUUCUCAUCCCAUUUCCCUCUCGUGUCUCAGACACUAAAAUCAAAAACCCUAACCUCUCUCAACCUUGCACGGCAACACCACCGAUUCCAAUCCCCACUUGUCGAAGAAAAAAUGAGUAGACGCUCGAGCAGAACUGUCUACGUUGGGAACCUUCCUGGUGACAUCCGUGAAAGAGAAGUUGAAGAUUUAUUUCUGAAGUAUGGUCACAUAACUCACAUAGAUCUAAAGGUUCCCCCAAGACCCCCUGGUUACGCAUUUGUUGAGUUUGAAGAUGCUCAAGAUGCUGAGGAUGCAAUACGUGGACGUGAUGGCUAUGAUUUUGAUGGGCACCGGUUACGGGUGGAGCCUGCCCAUGGUGGACGUGGUCAUUCAUCCUCAAGAGAUCGACACAGCAGUCACAGCAAUGGACGGGCUGGACGUGGGGUAUCCAGACGCUCUGAAUAUCGGGUUCUAGUCACUGGAUUGCCCUCUUCAGCAUCCUGGCAGGAUCUUAAGGAUCACAUGCGCAAGGCAGGAGAUGUUUGCUUUUCUCAGGUCUUUCAUGACGGAAGGGGUACUACUGGUAUUGUGGAUUACACAAAUUAUGAUGAUAUGAAAUAUGCUAUCAAGAAGCUUGAUGACUCUGAGUUUCGGAAUGCAUUUUCCAAGGGUUAUGUUCGAGUGAGGGAAUAUGAUUCGAGGCGGGAUUCAUCUAGAAGUCCUAGCCGUGGCCCAUCUCAUUCUAGAGGAAGAAGCUAUAGCCGCAGCCGUAGCCGAAGCCGUAGUUACAGUCGGGACCGGAGCCAAAGCAAAUCUCCUAAGGGUAAAUCUUCACAGCGUUCACCACCUGCUAAAUCUCCAUCAAGAUCUCCUGCUGCUCGAUCUCGCUCAAGAUCAAGGUCUCGUUCGUUGUCAGGCAUACUGGAAAUUGGAAAUUAGGAUCUUGGUGGGAUUUGGUUCAAUUGUCUGCAACUCAUUUUGUUGUGGAGAUUGGGGACCAAGGAGAUCAUGGAUUGCCAUAUAGAGCUGGAUUGUUUAUAACCUCCAAUGAGCAAUAGGGACAAUUUCAUUACAAUUGUGGGCUUCAAGAUUUGCCAAGCCAAUAGGAUGCACCAUCUGGAUUCUCUGGAUUUUGUGGUGCAGUAGGGAAGAUUUCUGUUCUCAUGAUAAUUGGUGCCUUAAUAUGUCGCCCUGAAAUGAUCACGGUCGAGGUCCAGAUCUCCUUUGCCCCCUCGUAAUAAAAGUCCCAAAAGGGGCAGUGCUAGCAGGAGUCCGAGUAGGAGCAGAAGCAGGAGUAAAAGUUUGUCUCGGUGAGCUGAUUGUUGUAAUCGACGAAGUUGCGGACGUGGUGAGUAAAAUUGACAUUAGCCAUGAAAAACACUUAUUUGGUUUUAUGUUUGAUAUUGGACUUGAGAUUGUGCCUAUAGGCGACCUAGUUUUAAACACUGAGGAUUUAUCAGACCUUAGAUUUAUGUAAUAGACUGUUUAAUGUCAAAAACAGGCACUAUUUCCCUGGUACAUUGUUAUUAUUUGGUUUGAGUAACUCAGACGAUAACAUAUAUUGCAAGAACUCUGCAUAGAUUAUAUGUUU